RNAcentral lists this ribosomal RNA (484 nucleotides) under uncultured bacterium. RNAcentral describes it as "partial 16S ribosomal RNA". It matches the Rfam family "Bacterial small subunit ribosomal RNA", at positions 28 to 507 of the family's 1533-position model. The record is from RNAcentral.
AUUGAACGCUGGCGGCAUGCUUUACACAUGCAAGUCGAACGGCAGCGCGGGCUUCGGCCUGGCGGCGAGUGGCGAACGGGUGAGUAAUUCAUCCGAACGUGCCCAGUCGUGGGGGAUAGCCCGGCUAAAGCCGGAGUAAUACCGCAUACGACCUGAGGGUGAAAGCGGGGGACCGAAAGGCCUCGCGCUAUUUGCUCCGCCGAUGUCGGAUUAGCUAGUUGGUGGGGUAAAGGCUUACCAAGGCGACGAUCCGUAGCUGGUCUGAGAGGACGACCAGCCACACUGGGACUGAGACACGGCCCAGACUCCUACGGGAGGCAGCAGUGGGGAAUUUUGGACAAUGGGGGCAACCCUGAUCCAGCCAUGCCGCGUGCGGGAAGAAGGCCUUCGGGUUGUAAACCGCUUUUGUUCGGGAAGAAAUCCUCUGGGCUAAUACCCCGGGGGGAUGACGGUACCGGAAGAAUAAGCACCGGCUAACUACGUG